UUAUCGGAGAGUUUGAUCCUGGCUCAGGACGAACGCUGGCGGCGUGCCUAAUACAUGCAAGUCGAGCGGACAGAUGGGAGCUUGCUCCCUGAUGUCAGCGGCGGACGGGUGAGUAACACGUGGGUAACCUGCCUGUAAGACUGGGAUAACUCCGGGAAACCGGGGCUAAUACCGGAUGCUUGUUUGAACCGCAUGGUUUAAACAUAAAAGGUGGCUUCGGCUACCACUUACAGAUGGACCCGCGGCGCAUUAGCUAGUUGGUGAGGUAACGGCUCACCAAGGCGACGAUGCGUAGCCGACCUGAGAGGGUGAUCGGCCACACUGGGACUGAGACACGGCCCAGACUCCUACGGGAGGCAGCAGUAGGGAAUCUUCCGCAAUGGACGAAAGUCUGACGGAGCAACGCCGCGUGAGUGAUGAAGGUUUUCGGAUCGUAAAGCUCUGUUGUUAGGGAAGAACAAGUGCCGUUCAAAUAGGGCGGCACCUUGACGGUACCUAACCAGAAAGCCACGGCUAACUACGUGCCAGCAGCCGCGGUAAUACGUAGGUGGCAAGCGUUGUCCGGAAUUAUUGGGCGUAAAGGGCUCGCAGGCGGUUUCUUAAGUCUGAUGUGAAAGCCCCCGGCUCAACCGGGGAGGGUCAUUGGAAACUGGGGAACUUGAGUGCAGAAGAGGAGAGUGGAAUUCCACGUGUAGCGGUGAAAUGCGUAGAGAUGUGGAGGAACACCAGUGGCGAAGGCGACUCUCUGGUCUGUAACUGACGCUGAGGAGCGAAAGCGUGGGGAGCGAACAGGAUUAGAUACCCUGGUAGUCCACGCCGUAAACGAUGAGUGCUAAGUGUUAGGGGGUUUCCGCCCCUUAGUGCUGCAGCUAACGCAUUAAGCACUCCGCCUGGGGAGUACGGUCGCAAGACUGAAACUCAAAGGAAUUGACGGGGGCCCGCACAAGCGGUGGAGCAUGUGGUUUAAUUCGAAGCAACGCGAAGAACCUUACC
RNAcentral lists this ribosomal RNA (993 nucleotides) under Bacillus atrophaeus. RNAcentral describes it as "bacterial SSU rRNA". It matches the Rfam family "Bacterial small subunit ribosomal RNA", at positions 1 to 975 of the family's 1533-position model. Lineage: Bacteria; Bacillati; Bacillota; Bacilli; Caryophanales; Bacillaceae. The record is from RNAcentral.